GUUGUAACAUAAGAAAAUGUGAAAAAAAGUCAAGGGGUCCAAAUACUUUCCGAAUGCACUAUAAUGUCAAUGUUUUAGCACUAUACAGAGUGUUUAAACUACAGCAGGCAAUAUGGUUCAAUGUGCCAAUAAAUCAGCACAAUCUACUUUUUCAUUUUUUUUUUUUAAUUGCCUGCGUCUUGAAGCUAAAACGAUAUAUUCAGCUACUGACCAUUCAAAAAAGAGUAGAGGAGAGCAAUGUACAAUAUGGACAACUUAGCAAAACCAGGAAUUUGUGAACUGGGAUUACUCACCACGAACUGGAAGAAGCGUUUUCCUUUAAUGAGUCUGACGAGAAAGAUAUACUGCUCUCCCAGGAACAGGCCCAGAUCCCGUCAUUUAAGUAAAGAAAAGACGGAGGAAAAGAGGACGCAGAUCGGGCUGCCUUUUGAGAAUCCAUAGCCGAGCGAGUAAACUCCCACUGCCAUCAAUUCUACUUGCUAACAUGCAAUCAUUGGGAAAUAAAAUUGAUGACCUACGAUUACGAUUAUCCUACCGACGGGACAUUAAGAACUGUAAUAUCUUAUGUUUCACGAGUCAUGGCUGAUCGACAACACAGAUAAUAUAGAGCUGGAGGGAUUUUCAGAAGCUAUGUCUGGUAAGACGAGGGGUGGGGGUGUGUGUCUUUUUGUCAAUAACAGCUGGUGCACAAUGUCUAAUAUUAAAGAAGUCGAGAGGUAUUGCUCGCCUGAGGUAGAGAACCAUAUGAUAAGCUGUAGACCACACUACCUACCAAGAGAGUUCUCAUCUAUAUGAUUCAUAGUCGUCUAUUUACCACCACAGACCGAUGCUGGCACUAAGACCACACUCAACCAACUCUGUAAGGCCAUAAGCAAACAAGAAAAUGCUCACCCAGAAGCGGCGCUCCUAGCGGCCGGGGUCUUUAAUGCGGGCAAACUUAAAUCAGUUUUACCACAUUUUUACCAGCUUGUCACAUGUGCAACCAGAGGAAAAAACUCAAGACCACCUUUACUCCACACACAGAGACGUGUACAAAGCUCUCCCUGCCCUCCAUUUGGCAAAUCUGACCAUAAUUCUAUCCUCCUGAUUCCUGCUUGCAAGCAAAAACUAAAGCAGGAAGUACCAGUGACUCACUCAAUACAGAAGUGGUCAGAUGACGCUGAUGCUACGCUGCAGGACUGUUUUGAUAGCACAGACUGGAAAUAUGUUCCUGGAUUCAUCCAAUGGCAUUGAGGAGUUUACCACCUCAGUCAUCAGCUUCAUCAAUAAGUGCAUCGAUGACGUCAUCCCCACAGUGACCGUACAUACAUAUCCCAACCAGAAGCCAUGGAUUACAGGCAACAUCCGCAUCGAGCUAAAGGCUAGAGCUCCGCUUUCAAGAAGCGGAACACUAAUCCGGACGCCUAUAAGAAAUCCUGCUAUGCCCUCAGACAAACCAUCAAACAAGCAAAGUGUCAGUACAGGAUUAAGAUUGAACACUGAAGCAUGCAUGAGAGCACCAGCUGUUCUGGAUGACUGUGUGAUAACGCUCUCGGUAGCCGAUGUGAGCAAGAUCUUUAAACAGGUUAACUUUCACAAAGCCACAGGGCCAGAUGAAUUAUCAAGACAUGUACUCAAAGCAUGUGCAGACCAACUGGAAAGUGUCUUCAAUGACAUGUUCAACCUCUCCCUGACCAAGUCUAUAAUACCUACAUGUUUCAAGCAAACCACCAUAGUCCCUGUGCCCAAGGAACGAAGGUAACCUGCCAAAAUGAUUACCGCCCCGUAGCGCUCACGUCGGUAGCCAUGAAGUGCUUUGAAAGGCUGGUCAUGGCUCAUAACAACAACAUCCUCCUUGAUACCCUAGACCAACUCUAAUUCCCAUACCGCCCAUACACUGCCCUUUCCCACCUGGACAAAAGGAACACCUAUGUGAGAAUGCUGUUCAUUGACUACAGCUCAGCAUUCAACACCAUAGUGUCCACGAAGCUCAUCACUAAGCUAAAGACCCUGGGACUAAACACUCCCUCUGCAACUGGAUGCUGGACUUCCUGACGGGCCGCCCACAGGUGGUGAGGGUAGGCAACAACACGUCUGCCAGGCUGAUCCUCAACACUGGGGCCCCUCAGCGGUACAUGCUGAGUCCCCUCCUGUACUCCCUGUUCGCCCACGACUGCAUGGCCAGGCACAACUCCAACACCAUCAUUAAAUUUGCUGACGACACAACAGUGAUCAACAGGCCUGAUCACCGACAUCUCUGUGGCUCAGUUGGUAGAGCAUGGUGUCUGCAAUACCAGCAUGGUGUGUGCAAUGCCAGGGUUGUGGGUUUGAUUCCCAUGGGGGGCCAGUACAAAAAAAAAAAUGCAUGAAAUGAAAUGUAUGCAUUCACUACUGUAAGUCGCUCUGGAUAAGACUGUCUGCUAAAUGACUAAAAUGUAAAUGUUAAAUGAUAAGACAGCCUAUAUGGAGGAGGUCAGAGAACUGGCAGUGUGGUGCCAGGAAAACAACCUCUUUCACAAUGUGAGCAAGACAAAGGAGCUGGUUGUGGACUACAGGAAAAGGAGUGCUGAACAGGCCAACAUUAACAUCAACGGGGCUGUAGUGGAGCAGGUUGAGAGUUUCAAGUUCCUUGGUGUCCACAUCACCACCAAUCUAUCAUGGUCCACACACCAAGACAGUUGUGAAGAGGGCACAACAAAACCUUUUCCCCCUCAGGAGACUGAAACACCACCCGAGGGGGUGUUUCCAGGCCAAAAAGAUCAUCAAGGACAACAACCACCCAAGCCACUGCCUGUUCACCCCGCUAACAUCCAGAAGGCGAGGUCAGUACAGGGGCAUCAAAGCUGGAACCGAGAGACUGAAAAACAGCUUCUAUCUCAAGGCCAUCAGACUGUUAAACAGCCAUCACUAACAUUGAGUGGCUACUGCCAACAUACUGACUCACCUCAAGCCACUUUAAUAAUGGGAAAAUUGAUGUAAUUAAUUUAUCACUUGCCACUUUAUAUUAUUUAUAUUAGAUAAUGUUGUAACGGCUGUUGAAUGGAGUAGACCAAGGCACAGCGUGGUUAGUGCUCAUCUUGUAAUUUAUUAAACAGAGAACACUAUAAACAAAGAAACAAAACGACAGCCCACAGUUCUGUCAGGUUAGACAACUAAACAGAAAUUAACCACCCACAAAACUCAAAGGAAAACAGGCUACCUAAGUAUGGCUCCCAAUCAGUGACAACGAUGUACAGCUGUCCCUGAUUGAGAACCAUACCAGGCCAAAACAAAGAAAUACAAAAACAUAGAAACAAGGACAUAGAAUGCCCACCCUAGUCACACCCUGGCCUAACCAAAAUAGAGAACAAAAACCUCUCUAUGGCCAGGGCGUGACAAAUGUUUACAUAACCUACAUUAUUCAUCUCAUAUGUAUAUACUGUACGCCAUACCAUCUACUGCAUCUUGCCAUCCUGAUGUAAUGUAUCACUAGCCACCUUAAACAAUGCUGCUUUAUAUGUUUUCAUACCCUACAAUACUAAUCUCAUAUGUAUAUUCUGUACUCCAUACCAUCUACUGCAUCUUGCCUAUGCCGUUCGGCCAUCACUCAUUUAUAUAUUUUUAUGUACAUAUUCGUAUUCAUUCCUUUACACUUGUGUGUAUAAGGUAGUUGUUGUGGAAUUGGUAGAUUACUUGUUAGAUAUUACUGCAUGGUCGGAACUAGAAGCACAAACAUUUCACUACACUUGCAUUAACACCUGCUAACCAUGUGUAUGUGACAAAUACAUUUGAUUUGAUUUGAUUUGAAGAUUUGGCAUGGGUCCCCAGAUCCUCUUUAAGUUCUACAACUGCACCAUCGAGAGCAUCCUGACCGGUUGCAUCAAUGCCUGGUAUGGCAACUUGCUUGGCAUCUGACGCUACAGAGGGUAGUGCGUAUGGCCCAGUACAACACUGGGUUCAAGCUUCCUGCAAUCCAGGACCUAUAUGAUAUGCGGUGUCAGAGGAAAGCCCAUAAAAUUAGUCAGAGAUUCCAGUCACACAAGUCAUAGACUGUUUUCUCUGCUACUGCACGGCAAGCGGUACCGGAGCGCCAAGUCUAGGACCAAAAGGCUCCUUAGCAGCUUCUAGCCCCCAAGCCAUAAGACUGCUGAACAAUUAUUCAAAUGGCC
This 4127-nucleotide long non-coding RNA is filed under the name Salmo salar (Atlantic salmon). RNAcentral describes it as "lncRNA (ENSSSAG00000094037.1)". The stretch from base 2360 to 2413 matches the Rfam family "UnaL2 LINE 3' element". The record is from RNAcentral. Lineage: Eukaryota; Metazoa; Chordata; Actinopteri; Salmoniformes; Salmonidae.